RNAcentral lists this ribosomal RNA (492 nucleotides) under uncultured bacterium. RNAcentral describes it as "partial 16S ribosomal RNA". It matches the Rfam family "Bacterial small subunit ribosomal RNA", at positions 28 to 507 of the family's 1533-position model. The record is from RNAcentral.
GAUGAACGCUAGCUACAGGCUUAACACAUGCAAGUCGAGGGGAAACGACAUCGAAAGCUUGCUUUUGAUGGGCGUCGACCGGCGCACGGGUGAGUAACGCGUAUCCAACCUGCCCAUCACUUGGGAAUAACCUUGCGAAAGUAAGACUAAUACCCAAUGAUAUCCCACGAAGGCAUCGGAAUGGGAUUAAAGAUUUAUCGGUGAUGGAUGGGGAUGCGUCUGAUUAGCUUGUUGGCGGGGUAACGGCCCACCAAGGCAACGAUCAGUAGGGGUUCUGAGAGGAAGGUCCCCCACAUUGUAACUGAGACACGGUCCAAACUCCUACGGGAGGCAGCAGUGAGGAAUAUUGGUCAAUGGGCGAGAGCCUGAACCAGCCAAGUAGCGUGCAGGAAGACGGCCCUAUGGGUUGUAAACUGCUUUUAUAAGGGAAUAAAGUGGGUCACGUGUGACUUUUUGCAUGUACCUUAUGAAUAAGGACCGGCUAAUUCCGUG